This 506-nucleotide ribosomal RNA is filed under the name uncultured bacterium. Its description in RNAcentral is "bacterial SSU rRNA". It matches the Rfam family "Bacterial small subunit ribosomal RNA", at positions 107 to 607 of the family's 1533-position model. The record is from RNAcentral.
UGAGUAAUGUCUGGGAAACUGCCCGAUGGAGGGGGAUAACUACUGGAAACGGUAGCUAAUACCGCAUAACGUCGCAAGACCAAGUUGGGGGACCUUCGGGCCCUCACACCACCGGAUGUGCCCCAGAUGGGAUUAGCUAGUAGGUGGGGUAAUGGCUCACCUAGGCGACGAUCCCUAGCUGGUCUGAGAGGAUGACCAGCCACCCUGGAAACUGAAACACGGUCCAGACUCCUACGGGAGGCAGCAGUGGGGAAUAUUGCACAAUGGGCGCAAGCCUGAUGCAGCCAUGCCGCGUGUAUGAAGAAGGCCUUCGGGUUGUAAAGUACUUUCAGCGGGGAGGAAGGCGGUGGAGUUAAUAGCUUCACCGAUUGACGUUACCCGCAGAAGAAGCACCGGCUAACUCCGUGCCAGCAGCCGCGGUAAUACGGAGGGUGCAAGCGUUAAUCGGAAUUACUGGGCGUAAAGCGCACGCAGCGGUCUGUCAAGUCGGAUGUGAAAUCCCCGGG